Molecule: ribosomal RNA, 293 nt
Filed under: uncultured prokaryote
Description: partial 16S ribosomal RNA
Rfam family: Bacterial small subunit ribosomal RNA
Source: RNAcentral
GUGCCAGCAGCCGCGGUAAUACAGAGGCCAAGAGCGUUGUUCGGAUUUACUGGGCGUAAAGGGCGCGUAGGCGGCAAGGCGUGUCAAGUGUGAAAUCUCCGGGCCCAACCCGGAAAGUGCGCUUGAAACUACCAUGCUUUGAGUCCGGGAGGGGGAAUCGGAAUACAGGGUGUAGCGGUGAAAUGCGUUGAUAUCCUGUAGAACACCGGAGGCGAAGGCGGAUUCCUUGAACGGUACUGACGCUGAGGCGCGAAAGUCGGGGGAGCAAACAGGAUUAGAUACCCUGGUAGUCC